Molecule: small nuclear RNA, 104 nt
Filed under: Thermothielavioides terrestris NRRL 8126
Lineage: Eukaryota; Fungi; Ascomycota; Sordariomycetes; Sordariales; Chaetomiaceae
Source: RNAcentral
CUGCAGAAAUACUGACAGCCACGCAGUUGAAACGAUACAGAGAAGAUUAGCAUGGCCCCUGCACUAAGGAUGACACGCUACUCAAAGAGACGCUACCCAUUUUU